This 345-nucleotide unclassified non-coding RNA is filed under the name Hevea brasiliensis (rubber tree). Lineage: Eukaryota; Viridiplantae; Streptophyta; Magnoliopsida; Malpighiales; Euphorbiaceae. The record is from RNAcentral.
GCCGGCUUUUUACAGCAUAAAAAGCCGGCAAAUACGUAUCAUUGACAUGGCCAGAAAAACAACUAUACAAGAUUUCUGAUUUCCGAUUUUCCAUAUCUGUGUGGUUAGCAUAAGCAGAUAUACUUAGCUGUUUCAUUAAAAUGCUUAACCAGAAAGCAUCUUCAUCACUCCCUCUCUCUCUCUCUCUCAGAGUACCAACCACGUAGAAAAUUGAAAGACGUGUAUAUACAGAACAAAACAAGAACCCAUUUAAACUUCCUGUGACAUUCGUUCCCGUUGCCUGCGCAUGCGAGCUGCCCAUGACAUGUUCCCUUCUGCAUCCUUGUUCAUGCUUCUUCUCUUCAA